UGCCGCCGGGGUGCCGGUGGUGUUGGCGUAUUUCGAUUACGCCAACAAGGUGGUCGGCAUCGGCCCGGUGUUCGAGUUGACCGAUGACAU
This 90-nucleotide transfer RNA is filed under the name Thermomonas carbonis. Its description in RNAcentral is "tRNA-Arg". Lineage: Bacteria; Pseudomonadati; Pseudomonadota; Gammaproteobacteria; Lysobacterales; Lysobacteraceae. The record is from RNAcentral.